This 785-nucleotide small RNA is filed under the name Pongo abelii (Sumatran orangutan). Its description in RNAcentral is "retained intron". The record is from RNAcentral. Lineage: Eukaryota; Metazoa; Chordata; Mammalia; Primates; Hominidae.
GAAGAAGAUAAGGAUAGUUUACAGGAACUCUCUACAGAACAGAAAUGCUUUGUUGAACACAUCCUUUGUACGAAGCCAUUGCCCUGCAGGCAGCCAGCUCCAAUUCGAGGAUUUUGGAUUGUACCUGACAUUCUGGGACCCACAAUGAUCUGCAUCACCAGUACCUAUGAAUGCCUCAUAAGGCCGUUAUUAAGUACAGUCCAUCCAGCGUCUCCUCCCCUGCUUUGUACUCGAGAAGAUGUUGAAGUGGCAGAGUCUCCCCUCCGUGUUCUGGCUGAAACCCCAGAUUCCUUUGAAAAGCAUAUUAGAAGCAUUUUGCAACGUAGUGUUGCCAAUCCAGCAUUUCUGAAAGCUUCUGAAAAGGACAUAGCCCCUGCUCCAGAAGAAUGCCUUCAGCUCCUCAGCAGAGCCACCCAGGUGUUCAGAGAGCAGUACAUUCUCAAACAGGACUUGGCAAAGGAGGAGAUUCAGCGGAGGGUCAAAUUAUUAUGUGACCAAAAAAAGAAACAACUAGAAGAUCUCAGUUAUCGUCGAGAAGAGAGGUAAGUGUCAAAAAUAAGAAUACAAUAGGUCAGUAAGACUGGAACCAUAUUCUCACCCUAAGAUGCUGAGCCACAUUAGUUGGUUUCAGCAUCAAGGUGUGGACCCCAAGAGUCUCUUGUUUCUUACAUCAUUAGGAAAAGUCUGCGGGAAAUGGCUGAGCGUUUAGCUGACAAAUAUGAGGAAGCUAAGGAAAAACAAGAGGAUAUCAUGAACAGGAUGAAAAAAGUACUUCACAGUUUUCA